UACAGAGGGGGCAAGCGUUGUUCGGAAUUACUGGGCGUAAAGGGCGCGUAGGCGGCCUGCUAAGUCGAACGUGAAAUCCCUGGGCUCAACCCCAGGAACUGCGUCCGAUACUGGUUGGCUUGAAUCCGGGAGAGGGAUGUGGAAUUCCAGGGUGUAGCGGUGAAAGUGCGUAGAGUAUCUGGAGGAGCACCGGUGGCGAAGGCGACAUCCUGGACCGGUAUGGACGCUGAGGCGCGAAAGCCAGGGGA
Molecule: ribosomal RNA, 248 nt
Filed under: uncultured bacterium
Lineage: Bacteria
Description: partial 16S ribosomal RNA
Rfam family: Bacterial small subunit ribosomal RNA
Source: RNAcentral